RNAcentral lists this ribosomal RNA (253 nucleotides) under uncultured bacterium. RNAcentral describes it as "partial 16S ribosomal RNA". It matches the Rfam family "Bacterial small subunit ribosomal RNA", at positions 524 to 776 of the family's 1533-position model. The record is from RNAcentral.
UACAGGGGGGGCAAGCGUUGUUCGGAAUUACUGGGCGUAAAGGGUUCGUAGGUGGCCAACUAAGUCAGACGUGAAAUCCCUCAGCUUAACUGGGGAACUGCGUCUGAUACUGGAUGGCUUGAGUGUAGGAGAGGAAUGCGGAAUUCCAGGUGUAGCGGUGAAAUGCGUAGAUAUCUGGAGGAACACCGGUGGCGAAGGCGGCAUUCUGGACUACAACUGACACUGAGGAGCGAAAGCCAGGGGAGCAAACAGG